GCGAGCGGCGGAUGGGUGAGUAACACGCUGGGGAGCCUGCCCCUAAGUCUGGGAUACCAUUUGGAAACAGGUGCUAAUACCGGAUAAUAAAGCAGAUCGCAUGAUCAGCUUUUGAAAGGCGGCGUAAGCUGUCGCUAAGGGAUGGCCCCGCGGUGCAUUAGCUAGUUGGUAAGGUAACGGCUUACCAAGGCGACGAUGCAUAGCCGAGUUGAGAGACUGAUCGGCCACAUUGGGACUGAGACACGGCCCAAACUCCUACGGGAGGCAGCAGUAGGGAAUCUUCCACAAUGGACGCAAGUCUGAUGGAGCAACGCCGCGUGAGUGAAGAAGGUUUUCGGAUCGUAAAGCUCUGUUGUUGGUGAAGAAGGAUAGAGGUAGUAACUGGCCUUUAUUUGACGGUAAUCAACCAGAAAGUCACGGCUAACUACGUGCCAGCAGCCGCGGUAAUACGUAGGUGGCAAGCGUUGUCCGGAUUUAUUGGGCGUAAAGCGAGCGCAGGCGGAAAAAUAAGUCUAAUGUGAAAGCCCUCGGCUUAACCGAGGAACUGCAUCGGAAACUGUUUUUCUUGAGUGCAGAAGAGGAGAGUGGAACUCCAUGUGUAGCGGUGGAAUGCGUAGAUAUAUGGAAGAACACCAGUGGCGAAGGCGGCUCUCUGGUCUGCAACUGACGCUGAGGCUCGAAAGCAUGGGUAGCGAAACAGGAUUAGAUACCCUGGUAGUCCAUGCCCGUAAACGAUGAGUGCUAAGUGUUGGG
This 753-nucleotide ribosomal RNA is filed under the name uncultured bacterium. RNAcentral's name for it is "bacterial SSU rRNA". It matches the Rfam family "Bacterial small subunit ribosomal RNA", at positions 91 to 827 of the family's 1533-position model. The record is from RNAcentral.